GAUGAAGAACGCAGCGAAAUGCGAUACUUGGUGUGAAUUGCAGAAUCCCGUGAACCAUCGAGUCUUUGAAUGCAAGUUGCGCCCGAAGCCAUUAGGCCGAGGGCACGCCUGCCUGGGUGUCACACGUCGUUGCCCCCCCAUCUACUCCUUCGGGAUUGCGGGGGGCGGAUGAUGGCCUCCCGUGCGCCUCGUCGCGCGGUUGGCAUAAAUGCCAAGUCCUCGGCGACGCACGCCACGACAAUCGGUGGUUGCGAAACCUCGGUUGCCCGUCGUGUGCGGUCGUCGCGCAUCGAGGGCUCGAAAAAAUUGCCGGGCUCCGGCUCGGCUUUCAACGCGACCCCAGGUCAGGCGGGGUUACCCGCUGAAUUUAAGCAUAUCAAUAAGCGGAGGA
RNAcentral lists this unclassified non-coding RNA (391 nucleotides) under soil metagenome. RNAcentral's name for it is "partial contains 5.8S ribosomal RNA, internal transcribed spacer 2, and large subunit ribosomal RNA". The stretch from base 1 to 122 matches the Rfam family "5.8S ribosomal RNA", at positions 35 to 154 of the family's 154-position model. The record is from RNAcentral.